This 254-nucleotide ribosomal RNA is filed under the name uncultured bacterium. RNAcentral's name for it is "partial 16S ribosomal RNA". It matches the Rfam family "Bacterial small subunit ribosomal RNA", at positions 524 to 776 of the family's 1533-position model. The record is from RNAcentral.
UACGGGGGGAGCAAGCGUUGUUCGGAAUUACUGGGCGUAAAGCGCACGUAGGCGGAUAUUUAAGUCAGGGGUGAAAUCCCAGAGCUCAACUCUGGAACUGCCUUUGAUACUGGGUAUCUCGAGUAUGGAAGAGGUGAGUGGAAUUCCGAGUGUAGAGGUGAAAUUCGUAGAUAUUCGCAAGAACACCAGUGGCGAAGGCGGCUCACUGGCCCGAUACUGACGCUGAGGCACGAAAGCGUGGGGGAGCAAACAGG